RNAcentral lists this ribosomal RNA (416 nucleotides) under uncultured bacterium. RNAcentral's name for it is "bacterial SSU rRNA". It matches the Rfam family "Bacterial small subunit ribosomal RNA", at positions 355 to 786 of the family's 1533-position model. The record is from RNAcentral.
UGGGGAAUAUUGCACAAUGGGGAAACCCGUAGCAUGCAGCGACGCCGCGUGAAGGAAGAAGUAUCUCGGUAUGUAAACUUCUAUCAGCAGGGAAGAUAAUGACGGUACCUGACUAAGAAGCCCCGGCUAACUACGUGCCAGCAGCCGCGGUAAUACGUAGGGGCAAGCGGUUAUCCGGAUUUACUGGGUGUAAAGGGAGCGUAGACGGAACAGCAAGUCUGAUGUGAAAGGCAUGGGCUCAACCUGUGGACUGCAUUGGAAACUGUUGGUCUUGAGUACCGGAGGGGUAAGCGGAAUUCCUAGUGUAGCGGUGAAAUGCGUAGAUAUUACGCAGAACUCCGAUUGCGAAGGCAGCAUACCGGCGCUCAACUGACGCUGAGGCACGAAAGCGUGGGGAUCGAACAGGAUUAGAUACC